Molecule: ribosomal RNA, 315 nt
Filed under: Candidatus Peribacteraceae bacterium
Lineage: Bacteria; Candidatus Peregrinibacteriota; Candidatus Peribacteria; Candidatus Peribacterales
Description: bacterial SSU rRNA
Rfam family: Bacterial small subunit ribosomal RNA
Source: RNAcentral
CUACACACGUGCUACAAUGGUGACCACAAAGGGCAGCGAAGUCGCGAGGCCAAGCAAAUCCCAAAAAAGUCAUCUCAGUUCGGAUUGAAGUCUGCAACUCGACUUCAUGAAGUUGGAAUCGCUAGUAACCGUGAAUCAGCUAUGUCACGGUGAAUAUGUUCCUGGGUCUUGUACUCACCGCCCGUCAAGUCAUGAAAGGCAGGGGCACCUGAAGCACCCUUACCCCUCGGGGGGGGUACCACGGUGAAACUGCUGAUUGGGACUAAGUCGUAACAAGGUAUCCGUAGGAGAACCUGCGGAUGGAACACUUCCUUA